Henosepilachna vigintioctopunctata is the source of this 72-nucleotide non-coding RNA. NCBI's taxonomy places the organism in Eukaryota, Metazoa, Arthropoda, Insecta, Coleoptera, Coccinellidae. The record is from the annotation of a GenBank genome assembly.
GCCUUGUGGCUUAAUCGGAAAAACAAUCGAUUAUGUUGCGGUAGGAAUCGGGUUCGAGUCCCGAUGAAGGCA